Molecule: ribosomal RNA, 301 nt
Filed under: uncultured bacterium
Lineage: Bacteria
Description: partial 16S ribosomal RNA
Rfam family: Bacterial small subunit ribosomal RNA
Source: RNAcentral
CAGCCGCCGCGGGAAAACAGAGGGUGCGAGCGUUAAUCGGAUUUACUGGGCGUAAAGCGUGCGUAGGCGGUGAGUUAAGUCUGCUGUGAAAUCCCCGGGCUCAACCUGGGAAUGGCAGUGGAUACUGGCUCGCUAGAGUGUGUCAGAGGAUGGUGGAAUUCCCGGUGUAGCGGUGAAAUGCGUAGAGAUCGGGAGGAACAUCAGUGGCGAAGGCGGCCAUCUGGGACAACACUGACGCUGAGGCACGAAAGCGUGGGGAGCAAACAGGAUUAGAUACCCGUGUAGUCCCUGUCUCUUAUAC